This 572-nucleotide ribosomal RNA is filed under the name uncultured Glomeromycotina. Its description in RNAcentral is "SSU rRNA". It matches the Rfam family "Eukaryotic small subunit ribosomal RNA", at positions 548 to 1114 of the family's 1831-position model. Lineage: Eukaryota; Fungi; Glomeromycota. The record is from RNAcentral.
UUGGAGGGCAAGUCUGGUGCCCGCAGCCGCGGUAAUUCCAGCUCCAAUAGCGUAUAUUAAAGUUGUUGCUGUUAAAAAGCUCGUAGUUGAAUCUCGGGAUUGACGUGAUGGUCAUGCCUUAAGGGGUAUGAACUGUUACAGUUGAUUUCUCACCUUCUGGAGAAACUUGAUGUCCUUUAUUGGGUGUCUUGCGGAUCCAGGACCUUUACCUUUAAAAAAUUAGAGUGUUUAAAGCAGGCAUUUUUGCUCGAAUACAUUAGCAUGGAAUAAUAGAAUAGGACGGCAUGGUUCUAUUUUGUUGGUUUCUAGGAUCACCGUAAUGAUUAAUAGGGAUAGUUGGGGGCAUUAGUAUUCAAUUGUCAGAGGUGAAAUUCUUGGAUUUAUUGAAGACUAACUACUGCGAAAGCAUUUGCCAAGGAUGUUUUCAUUAAUCAAGAACGAAAGUUAGGGGAUCGAAGACGAUCAGAUACCGUCGUAGUCUUAACCAUAAACUAUGCCGACUAGGAAUCAGACGAUGUUAAUUUUUUAAUGACUCGUUUGGCACCUUACGGGAAACCAAAGUGUUUGGGUUC